GUUGAUAGCAGCAUGUGUGUAUAUUUAUUAGCCAAGGCGAAGGAUUUUGCUUUGCAUCAUGCAGUGAAGGCUGUGCUCGGCUAGGCUUGUGUGUGUUUACUGGCACAUCGCUGCCAAAGCCGGUUAUCUCCAUCACGACCAAGGAGGCACCACAAACAGUGGCCGAGAUGUGACCGCUCUGCUCUUUCUUCUUACUAAAAUGGCAUUUAACAAAUAGACACGAUUUAUUUUCGGCAUCACGUUCUUUCUUUCAGACUUUGGUAAAUAUCAACUCGUUCCUAAUAAUGCAAUGAAUUAUUAAAUGCAGAAUCUGAAAUGAUCAUGUGACACGGGGACAUCUUGUCCAUUAAAAGUGAAACUAAAAUCUUUACCAUAGAAGGUCAUAAGGUCAUGUCCAGCUACAUAAAAUUCCUUGCCUACCGACGAUUAGAUAAGCAAUUAACAUGACUAAAUGGUGACAACAGUUUUAUCUUUUUAUGCAUCUGCUUAUGGAUGUGAAUACGAUGCCUCAAUUUGAAAUGGUUAUGUUUUGCUACUAUUUACGAAACCAGAGAAUAAAAGCAUCCUUCUCUGUCCAGUUGCCUUAAAACAAGAGCGUCCCAUCUUAUCCAGAAAGGGCCGGUGCGGCUCCUGCUGGACCGGAAUGAAACCCUGCACCCACACCGACCCUUUCUGGAUAAGAUGGGACACCCCUGCCUUAAAGCACUUACGACUGAAUUCCCCAAAAAGCAUCACAAAGUUAAUAUCAUCUUGACUAAGCAAGAGAGUGUUCUGUGUGAUGUGCGCUCUACCAUUUAACCAUUGCGUUGUGAUGUUUCUGGGAAACUCGACCCUGCUUGCAUAGUUGACAUUUUUCCUUGUGGGAACGUCAUUAAUCAGACCAAAGACAGCACAGCUAUGCUGUAAAUAAUAAACGCAAAAUUAAGUAUAUGUAGUUCUACUCUCAUUGGUUCCUGACGUUCCAGAAACACUGUAUAAUCGCGUGUCGAAUUAUCGUCAGGGAAAACGUGGAAAAAUCAAGAACCUUAAAUGAUUUUCACUCUGUGUUUCUAUAAAUCCAGGAUUUUAUAAAAUAACUUUUUGUCAGUAUGGACAUACACUGUAUUCCCA
Molecule: long non-coding RNA, 1110 nt
Organism: Ictalurus punctatus (channel catfish)
Lineage: Eukaryota; Metazoa; Chordata; Actinopteri; Siluriformes; Ictaluridae
Source: Ensembl